RNAcentral lists this transfer RNA (87 nucleotides) under Desulfovibrio sp. RNAcentral's name for it is "tRNA-Leu(caa)". It matches the Rfam family "tRNA". Rfam says of the family: Transfer RNA (tRNA) molecules are approximately 80 nucleotides in length. Their secondary structure includes four short double-helical elements and three loops (D, anti-codon, and T loops). The record is from RNAcentral. RNAcentral also lists the same sequence under 1 other name. Lineage: Bacteria; Pseudomonadati; Thermodesulfobacteriota; Desulfovibrionia; Desulfovibrionales; Desulfovibrionaceae.
GCCGGAGUGGUGGAAUUGGUAAACGCACGGGACUCAAAAUCCCGCGUCCGCAAGGACUUGUCGGUUCGAGUCCGACCUCCGGUACCA